CUAGAUUGAUGGCGAGUGGCGAACGGGUGAGUAAUACAUCGGAACGUGCCCUGUAGUGGGGGAUAACUAGUCGAAAGAUURGCUAAUACCGCAUACGACCUGAGGGUGAAAGUGGGGGACCGCAAGGCCUCAUGCUAUAGGAGCGGCCGAUGUCUGAUUAGCUAGUUGGUGGGGUAAAGGCCCACCAAGGCGACGAUCAGUAGCUGGUCUGAGAGGACGAUCAGCCACACUGGGACUGAGACACGGCCCAGACUCCUACGGGAGGCAGCAGUGGGGAAUUUUGGACAAUGGGCGAAAGCCUGAUCCAGCAAUGCCGCGUGUGUGAAGAAGGCCUUCGGGUUGUAAAGCACUUUUGUCCGGAAAGAAAUGGCUCUGGUUAAUACCUGGGGUCGAUGACGGUACCGGAAGAAUAAGGACCGGCUAACUACGUGCCAGCAGCCGCGGUAAUACGUAGGGUCCAAGCGUUAAUCGGAAUUACUGGGCGUAAAGCGUGCGCAGGCGGUUGUGCAAGACCGAUGUGAAAUCCCCGAGCUUAACUUGGGAAUUGCAUUGGUGACUGCACGGCUAGAGUGUGUCAGAGGGGGGUAGAAUUCCACGUGUAGCAGUGAAAUGCGUAGAGAUGUGGAGGAAUACCGAUGGCGAAGGCAGCCCCCUGGGAUAACACUGACGCUCAUGCACGAAAGCGUGGGGAGCAAACAGGAUUAGAUACCCUGGUAGUCCACGCCCUAAACGAUGUCAACUAGUUGUUGGGGAUUCAUUUCCUUAGUAACGUAGCUAACGCGUGAAGUUGACCGCCUGGGGAGUACGGUCGCAAGAUUAAAACUCAAAGGAAUUGACGGGGAACCCCGCACAAGCGGUGGAUGAUGGUGGAUUAAUUCGAUGCAACGCGAAAAAACCUUACCUACCCUUUG
This 911-nucleotide ribosomal RNA is filed under the name Ralstonia sp. RNAcentral describes it as "bacterial SSU rRNA". Lineage: Bacteria; Pseudomonadati; Pseudomonadota; Betaproteobacteria; Burkholderiales; Burkholderiaceae. The record is from RNAcentral.